Molecule: long non-coding RNA, 1145 nt
Organism: Polypterus senegalus (gray bichir)
Lineage: Eukaryota; Metazoa; Chordata; Cladistia; Polypteriformes; Polypteridae
Exons: 3
Source: RefSeq, a predicted model, not a curated record
CAGGACUGAGACUGGCCGGGAAACUCGCGCCAUGAUCGAUGGAUUCUAGCGAAAGAGAGCGUCGUAAGAGAAAACCUCAAAAGGAAACAAGUUCUCUUCCACCAAAAGAUGGACAUUUUGAUUUCGAACAAAAUCCAAAUACAGUACUCACAUAGUAGUGACCUCCAUUACUCACCCUGUUAAAUAUCAAGAUGCAGUCCAUGACGAUCAUCAGAUUCAUAGGAGACGAAUCGCCAACAACAGUCACAGUGGAGAAACUCAACUGCUUUAAGUGCCUGCAGAAGACCACUGUGAAAGACCUGUCAAACCAUAAUAUGGAUUAAAAGUAUUACAGACACAAUUUGAGUCCACUGUACAGGAUUUCCAUGGAUUUUAUUUCAACUGUCUCAACGUAAUGUCAGAGGCUUUAUAACAUUCAAAAUCAGACGUCUGCAAGAGCAUGAAAUAGAGGCUCGAACCUGAAAUUGGAUGACAUUACCAAGCCCAAGUGAUACUGGCAAAUCUGAAACCUGAAGCCGAAAUUUUUACUCUGUUCACCUCUCUGAGGAGUAGAAACCCAAGCACACACGGUAAAGGAUUCUGGUCAAGUGUGAACCUGUGAAGGACUGAAGCCAUGUCCAGGGUUGCUACCAGCCUUGUACUCAGUGCUGCUUGGAUAGGCUUCAGCCUCCUGUGUUACUGAAUAAGAUCAAACAGCUGAAAAUGAAUAAAUGAUUCCGAACAAUCGAGUACAUUAUUCACUAUAGAUUUUAGAGAAAAGUUCAUCAUUCCGUCUUGCAAAAUACUUGAAUAUAUAUUACUUGUCAAUUUUGCAAGUAAAAACAAAUAGGUGCACACAUCUAUACCUCACAAGUACAGUAUAGUUGGUUUACAAUUAGUAGAGUCCAAGGAGACAAAAUUUAUGAAGGGAGUUCUGGACACAAAUUAAAAAAAAAAAAAAAGCAGAACAUGACUCCGAGUUCAGUUUAUGUACUUUUCAUAACUUCAGGGGAAAAAAAAAAGUUUUGCUUUAUAUGUAGAGGACAGAGCAGGGGUUCGAAUCUUGAGUACGCACUAACGUAAAUUAGCAUAAUGUGAACAAAAAGACCCAAGGCAUUACCAGUUUUAAAAUUUAUUUAUGAAGUUUAUUUUAAUUGUAAUUUAAA